This 313-nucleotide ribosomal RNA is filed under the name uncultured delta proteobacterium. RNAcentral describes it as "bacterial SSU rRNA". It matches the Rfam family "Bacterial small subunit ribosomal RNA", at positions 536 to 847 of the family's 1533-position model. The record is from RNAcentral. Lineage: Bacteria; Deltaproteobacteria.
AAGCGUUGUUCGGAAUUAUUGGGCGUAAAGGGCGUGUAGGCGGUUCGUUAAGUCUGAUGUGAAAGCCCUGGGCUCAACCUGGGAAGUGCAUUGGAAACUGGCGAACUUGAGUACGGGAGAGGGCAGUGGAAUUCCUAGUGUAGGAGUGAAAUCCGUAGAUAUUAGGAGGAACACCGGUGGCGAAGGCGGCUGCCUGGACCGAUACUGACGCUGAGACGCGAAAGCGUGGGGAGCAAACAGGAUUAGAUACCCUGGUAGUCCACGCCGUAAACGAUGAGUACUAGGUGUUGCGGGUAUUGACCCCUGCAGUGCC